RNAcentral lists this long non-coding RNA (443 nucleotides) under Olea europaea (common olive). Its description in RNAcentral is "long non-coding RNA (OEUR_LNC013508)". The record is from RNAcentral. Lineage: Eukaryota; Viridiplantae; Streptophyta; Magnoliopsida; Lamiales; Oleaceae.
ACAAGAUAGUGAUAUAAUUCUGAACAAACAUGGCUUAACACCUUGCCUUGGCUCAGGAUUGGACUAAGUAAUUGAUUUUAUGAAAAUUUAUCAGUGCAAGAUGACAUCAACCUUCACCUGUUAAGUGCAUACUUGACGUGUGUCUGUGUGGAUUCAUGCUAACAUAUCAAGUUCAUGAUGAGUUUGAGUCCCGACCCCAAGUGGUCAAAUGUCUCCUUACUCGCUCGAGAGAUACACAUCCCCCCAAACUUAUUCUUUUCACUCAAUUAUCCCGGGAUUGUGUUUAAAAAUUAUGAGUUUACCUAGCUUUAGUUCUCACCCUCUCGUAGUUUGGAUUAAUUUCACUAUCACAAGUUCACACAUCAACAAGUGAAGGCUCUCCUAGUUUUGAUUGCUUCGACACUCAAGACUAAACUAGGUUACUUGCCUCGCCUCAAAGGUAU